GACAGAGGGUGCAAACGUUGUUCGGAAUUACUGGGCGUAAAGCGCGUGUAGGCGGCUUGGCAAGUCGGGUGUGAAAGCCCUGGGCUCAACCUAGGAAGUGCACUCGAAACUGCUUCGCUUGAGUGUCGGAGAGGAAAGCGGAAUUCUCGGUGUAGAGGUGGAAUUCGUAGAUAUCGAGAGGAACACCGGUGGCGAAGGCGGCUACCUGGACCGGUUCUGACGCUGAGGCGCGAAAGCGUGGGGAGCAAACAGG
RNAcentral lists this ribosomal RNA (253 nucleotides) under uncultured bacterium. Its description in RNAcentral is "partial 16S ribosomal RNA". It matches the Rfam family "Bacterial small subunit ribosomal RNA", at positions 524 to 776 of the family's 1533-position model. The record is from RNAcentral.